This 497-nucleotide ribosomal RNA is filed under the name uncultured bacterium. RNAcentral's name for it is "partial 16S ribosomal RNA". It matches the Rfam family "Bacterial small subunit ribosomal RNA", at positions 28 to 507 of the family's 1533-position model. The record is from RNAcentral.
GAUGAACGCUGGCGGCGUGCCUAAUACAUGCAAGUCGAGCGAACAGACGAGGAGCUUGCUCCUCUGACGUUAGCGGCGGACGGGUGAGUAACACGUGGAUAACCUACCUAUAAGACUGGGAUAACUUCGGGAACCCGGAGCUAAUACCGGAUAAUAUAUUGAACCGCAUGGUUCAUUAGUGAAAGACGGUUUUGCUGUCACUUAUAGAUGGAUCCGCGCCGCAUUAGCUAGUUGGUAAGGUAACGGCUUACCAAGGCAACGAUGCGUAGCUGACCUGAGAGGGUGAUCGGCCACACUGGAACUGAGACACGGUCCAGACUCCUACGGGAGGCAGCAGUAGGGAAUCUUCCGCAAUGGGCGAAAGCCUGACGGAGCAACGCCGCGUGAGUGAUGAAGGUCUUCGGAUCGUAAAACUCUGUUAUUAGGGAAGAACAAAUGUGUAAGUAACUAUGCACGUCUUGACGGUACCUAAUCAGAAAGCCACGGCUAACUACGUG